GCCCCGAUGGUGAAAUUGGUAGACACAAGAGACUUAAAAUCUCUCGCCUUUGCGGGCGUGCCGGUUCGAUUCCGGCUCGGGGCACCA
This 87-nucleotide transfer RNA is filed under the name Oxalicibacterium flavum. RNAcentral's name for it is "tRNA-Leu". It matches the Rfam family "tRNA". From Rfam's summary of the family: Transfer RNA (tRNA) molecules are approximately 80 nucleotides in length. Their secondary structure includes four short double-helical elements and three loops (D, anti-codon, and T loops). Lineage: Bacteria; Pseudomonadati; Pseudomonadota; Betaproteobacteria; Burkholderiales; Oxalobacteraceae. The record is from RNAcentral.